Molecule: ribosomal RNA, 492 nt
Filed under: uncultured bacterium
Lineage: Bacteria
Description: partial 16S ribosomal RNA
Rfam family: Bacterial small subunit ribosomal RNA
Source: RNAcentral
AGUGAACGCUGGCGGUAGGCCUAACACAUGCAAGUCGAACGGCAGCACAGUAAGAGCUUGCUCUUACGGGUGGCGAGUGGCGGACGGGUGAGGAAUACAUCGGAAUCUACUUUUUCGUGGGGGAUAACGUAGGGAAACUUACGCUAAUACCGCAUACGACCUACGGGUGGAAGCAGGGGAUCUUCGGACCUUGCGCGAUUGAAUGAGCCGAUGUCGGAUUAGCUAGUUGGCGGGGUAAAGGCCCACCAAGGCGACGAUCCGUAGCUGGUCUGAGAGGAUGAACAGACACACUGGAACUGAGACACGGUCCAGACUCCUACGGGAGGCAGCAGUGGGGAAUAUUGGACAAUGGGCGCAAGCCUGAUCCAGCCAUACCGCGUGGGUGAAGAAGGACUUCGGGUUGUAAAGCCCUUUUGUUGGGAAAGAAAAGCAGCAGGUUAAUACCCCGCUGUUCUGACGGUACCCAAAGAAUAAGCACCGGCUAACUUCGUG